Molecule: ribosomal RNA, 490 nt
Filed under: uncultured bacterium
Lineage: Bacteria
Description: partial 16S ribosomal RNA
Rfam family: Bacterial small subunit ribosomal RNA
Source: RNAcentral
UAGGGAAUCUUCCACAAUGGACGAAAGUCUGAUGGAGCAACGCCGCGUGAGUGAUGAAGGGUUUCGGCUCGUAAAACUCUGUUGUUGGAGAAGAACGGGUGUCAGAGUAACUGUUGACAUCGUGACGGUAUCCAACCAGAAAGCCACGGCUAACUACGUGCCAGCAGCCGCGGUAAUACGUAGGUGGCAAGCGUUGUCCGGAUUUAUUGGGCGUAAAGCGAGCGCAGGCGGUUUUUUAGGUCUGAUGUGAAAGCCUUCGGCUUAACCGGAGAAGUGCAUCGGAAACCGGGAGACUUGAGUGCAGAAGAGGACAGUGGAACUCCAUGUGUAGCGGUGAAAUGCGUAGAUAUAUGGAAGAACACCAGUGGCGAAGGCGGCUGUCUGGUCUGCAACUGACGCUGAGGCUCGAAAGCAUGGGUAGCGAACAGGAUUAGAUACCCUGGUAGUCCAUGCCGUAAACGAUGAGUGCUAAGUGUUGGAGGGUUUCCGC